This 478-nucleotide ribosomal RNA is filed under the name uncultured bacterium. RNAcentral's name for it is "partial 16S ribosomal RNA". It matches the Rfam family "Bacterial small subunit ribosomal RNA", at positions 28 to 523 of the family's 1533-position model. The record is from RNAcentral.
GACGAACGCUGGCGGCGUGCUUAACACAUGCAAGUCGAACGGUAAGGCCCUUCGGGGUACACGAGUGGCGAACGGGUGAGUAACACGUGGGUGAUCUGCCCUGCACUUCGGGAUAAGCCUGGGAAACUGGGUCUAAUACCGGAUAGGACCACUGCCUGCAUGGGUGGUGGUGGAAAGCUUUUGCGGUGUGGGAUGGGCCCGCGGCCUAUCAGCUUGUUGGUGGGGUGAUGGCCUACCAAGGCGACGACGGGUAGCCGGCCUGAGAGGGUGACCGGCCACACUGGGACAGAGAUGCGGCCCAGACUCCUACGGGAGGCAGCAGUGGGGAAUAUUGCACAAUGGGCGCAAGCCUGAUGCAGCGACGCCGCGUGAGGGAUGACGGCCUUCGGGUUGUAAACCUCUUUCAGCACCGACGAAGCGCAAGUGACGGUAGGUGCAGAAGAAGGACCGGCCAACUACGUGCCAGCCGCCGCAGUAA